Molecule: ribosomal RNA, 241 nt
Filed under: Sulfuricurvum sp.
Lineage: Bacteria; Pseudomonadati; Campylobacterota; Epsilonproteobacteria; Campylobacterales; Sulfurimonadaceae
Also listed under: 1 other name
Description: partial 16S ribosomal RNA
Rfam family: Bacterial small subunit ribosomal RNA
Source: RNAcentral
GAUUGUAGUCUGCAACUCGACUACAUGAAGUCGGAAUCGCUAGUAAUCGUAGAUCAGCAAUGCUACGGUGAAUACGUUCCCGGGUCUUGUACUCACCGCCCGUCACACCAUGGGAGUUGAAUUCACCCUAAGCCGGGAAGCUAACCAGCAAUGGAGGCUACCGUCCACGGUGGAUUCAGCGACUGGGGUGAAGUCGUAACAAGGUAACCGUAGGAGAACCUGCGGUUGGAUCACCUCCUUU